RNAcentral lists this ribosomal RNA (468 nucleotides) under uncultured bacterium. RNAcentral's name for it is "partial 16S ribosomal RNA". It matches the Rfam family "Bacterial small subunit ribosomal RNA", at positions 28 to 507 of the family's 1533-position model. The record is from RNAcentral.
GACGAACGCUGGCGGCGUGCUUAACACAUGCAAGUCGAACGGAAAGGCCCUGCUUUUGUGGGGUGCUCGAGUGGCGAACGGGUGAGUAACACGUGAGCAACCUGCCCUUGACUUUGGGAUAACUUCAGGAAACUGGGGCUAAUACCGGGUAGGAGCUCCUGCUGCAUGGUGGGGGUUGGAAAGUUUCGGCGGUUGGGGAUGGACUCGCGGCUUAUCAGCUUGUUGGUGGGGUAGUGGCUUACCAAGGCUUUGACGGGUAGCCGGCCUGAGAGGGUGACCGGCCACAUUGGGACUGAGAUACGGCCCAGACUCCUACGGGAGGCAGCAGUGGGGAAUAUUGCACAAUGGGCGGAAGCCUGAUGCAGCAACGCCGCGUGCGGGAUGACGGCCUUCGGGUUGUAAACCGCUUUCGCCUGUGACGAAGCGUGAGUGACGGUAAUGGGUAAAGAAGCACCGGCUAACUACGUG